UUCGUUUUGAGUGUCAAGUAUUGAGAAAGAUAAUCGUUGACUAAAAUUUAAGAAAUUCGGGGAAUAUUCUUUAUUAUUCGUACGAGUUUCUACUAAUACACGUGUUAUUCCAAGAGGCGAAAGAUGAUGUCAAACGUGAAAGAACAACGAUUUAACUUUCACGAAGUGACUAUUUUCAAUGAGAAUGAAGAAUGUGUCGUCGUAUCACGAACAUCUUUGAUACAAAAUGGAGGAUUGCUGAAAAACUUCUUAAUUGUGUGUCCGAAUGAAAUGAAGUUUAUUCUGAAAUUACCUCUAACAUUAGAAAUGCUGAAUGAAUUUGCAGGGUUUUUGGAGACAGAAGAUGUUAUUUUUACUUCUGCGGAUAACGGAAUCGAAAUGUACCUCAUCGGCAAACGUUACUUUAUUAGAAAACUGCAAAGAAUGUGUUUCCAUUAUCUUACACAGCCGAAUAUCUGCAAAAACAUUUGUCGCAUCCACGAUUUUGCUUGCAGACACAACGAAAAACAAUUGCAGUUUCAUUGUUGGGAAAGUUUUCAUUGGCUCGAAAAGAACUAUUUCCACACAGACGAUUUCAAACAAUGUGAAGAAAGCAGCAUUUACAGGUUAUUGAUUUCCGACUUUUUCACAGUAGAGGAAUCUGAUUUGGUGUAUGCGCUUUUCGAGUGGGUCGAGCAGAAAUUUUGUAAACUGAGAAAAACGAACGACGACAUUUCGACGGGAGAAAUAAUAAGACCGUUUCUGCCGUUGGUUAGAUUCUUCAUGUUGGAACCACAGUUAAUAGAACAACUUUUGAACUUGAUUAGCAAUGUUUGCAUUUCGACAAAAGAAGCUAAAUCCAUAAUAAGAUAUCAAAUUGAAAAAAAAUGUCGCGACUCUUCCACCAAUAAUAUCUGCUUGAAAUCGCUGUACUGAAAAUCAGUUAGCGAAUUGUGAAAAUCGUACUUCAACAAUAGCGCAGAUUUAAACUGUGACCAUCUACGUAGUAUAAAUAGCGAAUAUUUACAGAACGAUGCCGUACCCGUAGUUCUGAUUUUUACCACGAGAUGUCGCUACUUUGUGAGGUCAUGAAUCUCGACAAGCGUAGUUGAAUUUACUGUAUGUUGUGACUCCACUGAACCACGUGUUAGAAGUUGAAAGUUAAAAUUUGGUACACAAUUAGGAAAGUCGAACAGAUUUUUUGACACAUCCCAUCUAAAAAUACUCUAAUUAUUCUCGAAAACAAAAAGACUCGUCAUUCUUGCAUUCGGUGAAAACGGGU
This is a long non-coding RNA of Centruroides sculpturatus (bark scorpion), 1261 nucleotides long. RefSeq lists it as uncharacterized. The transcript has 4 exons. The record is from RefSeq and is a predicted model, not a curated record. Lineage: Eukaryota; Metazoa; Arthropoda; Arachnida; Scorpiones; Buthidae.